Long non-coding RNA from Manis pentadactyla (Chinese pangolin), 307 nucleotides. RefSeq lists it as uncharacterized. The record is from RefSeq and is a predicted model, not a curated record. Lineage: Eukaryota; Metazoa; Chordata; Mammalia; Pholidota; Manidae. The transcript is spliced from 3 exons.
AGGUAGCAGAAAAUUCCUCUUGAAUUGAAACGACAACAAAAGCCCACAUUUAGCCAAUCAAAGAAAGCCAACAGAUGUCUCUCGGGCCCACACAGAAGAAUCUGCCUUUUCUUCACCAGCACAACCCAAGAUUUACUCAUCUCACAGGCUCUUACUAUCCAGUGGGGAAUCCUUUCAGCAAGUUCUCCAUAAUGAUAAAGCUGGAUCUGAGGCUUUUUCUGGUCUUCUAAACCUCCUGGGAUCUGGUAAGCCACAUAGAAAGGGUUUUUCCAACUACCCAAACUCCCCAUUCCAGUUCUUGGGGCAU